This is a small nuclear RNA of Erinaceus europaeus (western European hedgehog), 103 nucleotides long. Lineage: Eukaryota; Metazoa; Chordata; Mammalia; Eulipotyphla; Erinaceidae. The record is from Ensembl.
UCAUGCUUACUUCAAGAAUAUACUAAAAUUGUAAGGAUACAGAGAAGAUUAGCAUGGCCCCUGCACAAAAGACUCUCAUGCCUGAGACUCAAGGUCCCAGGUU